AUGGAUCAUCCGACACCGGAUGCCCAGUCGGGAACCAGCGGGUGUGGUGGCACCGCUAGGGUUCCUGAUCUGGGGGAUUUUCUUGAGCAACUCAACCUAGAAGAUGAAGUUUUCGAUGAUCUUGUGAUUGAUGAGGAUGAUCAUGUGAUCAAUGAGAGUGUGAGAUGGUUGGCCCUUGCAAGGGUGCACAUGGAGAAACCGUUCAACCAUACUGCCUUCUACAAGGACAUGCGGGCGGCGUGGAAUCCGGCGCAACCAGUUAGGUUUCGGCCGGUCGGCCCGAAGCUGUUUGUGGUGCAGGCGGCGUGCUUAGGAGACUGGGAACGGAUGCUGGAGCAGGGUCCUUGGCUUUUCAGAAACAUGCUGGUGUUAUUAUGCCCAUACGAUGGAUUCACCAAAGCUGAAGAGGUGCCCAUGGUGUUCAUGCCGAUCUGGCUCCAAAUCCAUAAGAUACCGGAUGGCUUUUGCAAGAAGAACAUUGUUGAGCAUCUGCUAAGAAACUCAGGUGAUAUUUUGGAGAUGAGGCUGAACGGGAACACCCGUGGUGACUAUAUCAGAAUUAGGGUUCGCCAUGAUAUCCGGCUACCACUAACUAAGUUUGUAAGCAUUGUGAGAGGUAAGGAAUGCCAGGUUUUCUUGGUGAGAUAUGAGAAAUUGGCACAUUUCUGUAGUGUUUGUGGUCUUAUUGGCCAUGACUGCAAAGAAUGUGGUUCUGGAGUACAUGAGGAGAAGGACAAGAAGUUUGGGGCCUGGCUGUAUGCAGAUGGUCUGAAUAAGUCUCAGUACAAUGAUGCUGGUGGACGGGAUGGGGGCCUCAGGAAUCCUACAUCUCAGCCUCAACAGAAGAGAUCUCCAAGGAAGGAUGUGGUCGACCCGGAGGUAUUGGAUACAGCCUCGAGCCCACCAAAAACUGGUCGGCAACAUAUGCAUGUGGAUCCAACAGCUAGGAAAAGGCUGAACAUGGAGGGACAGGUCCAGGCCACGGGAUCAGUGGAGAACACAGCUAAGAGGGGAGUGUUGCUGGCCCUCACCCAAGGCAACGGGGAGUAUGGUGAGGACGCCUCGCCUUCUAGCAGCACCAACAGCAAGAGAGCUCGCAUUGACUCGGAUGGUAUCUCAGGUGAUAGAUCGGCGGCCUCCCUAGAGGAGGACCACCGGACACAAUUAAUAUAUUAG
This 1176-nucleotide ribosomal RNA is filed under the name Triticum aestivum (bread wheat). RNAcentral's name for it is "partial small subunit ribosomal RNA". Lineage: Eukaryota; Viridiplantae; Streptophyta; Magnoliopsida; Poales; Poaceae. The record is from RNAcentral.